CGCAACCCUCGCAUUCAGUUGCCAUCGGUAAGGCCGGGCGACUCUGGAUGGACUGCCGGCGACAAGCCGGAGGAAGGUGGGGACGACGGUCAAGUCAUCAUGGCCCUUAUGUCCAGGGCGACACACGUGCUACAAUGGCCGGCACAACGGGAAGCGAAGGGGCGACCCUGAGCGGAUCCCACAAAAGCCGGUCUCAGUUCGGAUUGCAGUCUGCAACUCGACUGCAUGAAGUUGGAAUCGCUAGUAAUCGUGGAUCAGCCAAGCCGCGGUGAAUACGUUCCCGGGCCUU
Molecule: ribosomal RNA, 289 nt
Filed under: uncultured Thermovirga sp.
Lineage: Bacteria; Thermotogati; Synergistota; Synergistia; Synergistales; Thermovirgaceae
Description: partial 16S ribosomal RNA
Rfam family: Bacterial small subunit ribosomal RNA
Source: RNAcentral